RNAcentral lists this ribosomal RNA (465 nucleotides) under uncultured bacterium. RNAcentral's name for it is "partial 16S ribosomal RNA". It matches the Rfam family "Bacterial small subunit ribosomal RNA", at positions 338 to 795 of the family's 1533-position model. The record is from RNAcentral.
CCUACGGGUGGCAGCAGUAGGGAAUUUUCCGCAAUGGGCGAAAGCCUGACGGAGCAACGCCGCGUGAGCGAUGAAGGUCUUCGGAUCGUAAAACUCUGUUAAUAGGGAAGAACAUAUGUGUAAGUAACUGUGCACAUCUUGAUGGUACCUAUCCAGAAAGUCACGGCUAACUACGUGCCAGCAGCCGCGGUAAUACGUAGGUGGCAAGCGUUAUCCGGAAUUAUUGGGCGUAAAGGGGGCGUAGGCGGGUUUUCAAGUCUGAUGUGAAAGGUAACGGCUCAACCGGGGACGGCCAUUGGAAACUGGAGAGCUUGAGAGCAGAAGAGGGAGGUGGAAUUCCAUGUGUAGCGGUGAAAUGCGCAGAGAUAUGGAGGAACACCAGUGGCGAAGGCGACUGUCUGGUCUGUAACUGACGCUGAGGUGCGAAAGCGUGGGGAGCAAACAGGAUUAGAUACCCGUGUAGUC